UAGAGUUUGAUCAUGGCUCAGGACGAACGCUGGCGGCGUGCCUAAUACAUGCAAGUCGAACGAACUCUGGUAUUGAUUGGUGCUUGCAUCAUGAUUUACAUUUGAGUGAGUGGCGAACUGGUGAGUAACACGUGGGAAACCUGCCCAGAAGCGGGGGAUAACACCUGGAAACAGAUGCUAAUACCGCAUAACAACUUGGACCGCAUGGUCCGAGUUUGAAAGAUGGCUUCGGCUAUCACUUUUGGAUGGUCCCGCGGCGUAUUAGCUAGAUGGUGGGGUAACGGCUCACCAUGGCAAUGAUACGUAGCCGACCUGAGAGGGUAAUCGGCCACAUUGGGACUGAGACACGGCCCAAACUCCUACGGGAGGCAGCAGUAGGGAAUCUUCCACAAUGGCGAAAGUCUGAUGGAGCAACGCCGCGUGAGUGAAGAAGGGUUUCGGCUCGUAAAACUCUGUUGUUAAAGAAGAACAUAUCUGAGAGUAACUGUUCAGGUAUUGACGGUAUUUAACCAGAAAGCCACGGCUAACUACGUGCCAGCAGCCGCGGUAAUACGUAGGUGGCAAGCGUUGUCCGGAUUUAUUGGGCGUAAAGCGAGCGCAGGCGGUUUUUUAAGUCUGAUGUGAAAGCCUUCGGCUCAACCGAAGAAGUGCAUCGGAAACUGGGAAACUUGAGUGCAGAAGAGGACAGUGGAACUCCAUGUGUAGCGGUGAAAUGCGUAGAUAUAUGGAAGAACACCAGUGGCGAAGGCGGCUGUCUGGUCUGUAACUGACGCUGAGGCUCGAAAGUAUGGGUAGCAAACAGGAUUAGAUACCCUGGUAGUCCAUACCGUAAACGAUGAAUGCUAAGUGUUGGAGGGUUUCCGCCCUUCAGUGCUGCAGCUAACGCAUUAAGCAUUCCGCCUGGGGAGUACGGCCGCAAGGCUGAAACUCAAAGGAAUUGACGGGGGCCCGCACAAGCGGUGGAGCAUGUGGUUUAAUUCGAAGCUACGCGAAGAACCUUACCAGGUCUUGACAUACUAUGCAAAUCUAAGAGAUUAGACGUUCCCUUCGGGGACAUGGAUACAGGUGGUGCAUGGUUGUCGUCAGCUCGUGUCGUGAGAUGUUGGGUUAAGUCCCGCAACGAGCGCAACCCUUAUUAUCAGUUGCCAGCAUUAAGUUGGGCACUCUGGUGAGACUGCCGGUGACAAACCGGAGGAAGGUGGGGAUGACGUCAAAUCAUCAUGCCCCUUAUGACCUGGGCUACACACGUGCUACAAUGGAUGGUACAACGAGUUGCGAACUCGCGAGAGUAAGCUAAUCUCUUAAAGCCAUUCUCAGUUCGGAUUGUAGGCUGCAACUCGCCUACAUGAAGUCGGAAUCGCUAGUAAUCGCGGAUCAGCAUGCCGCGGUGAAUACGUUCCCGGGCCUUGUACACACCGCCCGUCACACCAUGAGAGUUUGUAACACCCAAAGUCGGUGGGGUAACCUUUUAGGAACCAGCCGCCUAAGGUGGGACAGAUGAUUAGGGUGAAGUCGUAACAAGGUAGCCGUAGGAGAACCUGCGGUUGGAUACACACCUCUCUUAA
Molecule: ribosomal RNA, 1565 nt
Filed under: Lactiplantibacillus pentosus
Lineage: Bacteria; Bacillati; Bacillota; Bacilli; Lactobacillales; Lactobacillaceae
Description: Lactobacillus pentosus partial 16S rRNA
Rfam family: Bacterial small subunit ribosomal RNA
Source: RNAcentral